RNAcentral lists this ribosomal RNA (468 nucleotides) under uncultured bacterium. Its description in RNAcentral is "partial 16S ribosomal RNA". It matches the Rfam family "Bacterial small subunit ribosomal RNA", at positions 28 to 507 of the family's 1533-position model. The record is from RNAcentral.
GACGAACGCUGGCGGCGUGCUUAACACAUGCAAGUCGAACGGAAAGGCCCUGCUUUUGUGGGGUGCUCGAGUGGCGAACGGGUGAGUAACACGUGAGUAACCUGCCCUUGACUUUGGGAUAACUUCAGGAAACUGGGGCUAAUACCGGAUAGGAGCUCCUGCUGCAUGGUGGGGGUUGGAAAGUUUCGGCGGUUGGGGAUGGACUCGCGGCUUAUCAGCUUGUUGGUGGGGUAGUGGCUUACCAAGGCUUUGACGGGUAGCCGGCCUGAGAGGGUGAACGGCCACAUUGGGACUGAGAUACGGCCCAGACUCCUACGGGAGGCAGCAGUGGGGAAUAUUGCACAAUGGGCGGAAGCCUGAUGCAGAAACGCCGCGUGCGGGAUGACGGCCUUCGGGUUGUAAACCGCUUUCGCCUGUGACGAAGCGUGAGUGACGGUAAUGGGUAAAGAAGCACCGGCUAACUACGUG